Molecule: small RNA, 37 nt
Filed under: Propionibacterium ruminifibrarum
Lineage: Bacteria; Bacillati; Actinomycetota; Actinomycetes; Propionibacteriales; Propionibacteriaceae
Description: Propionibacterium sp. JV5 CRISPR_Spacer
Source: RNAcentral
CGCUCGACCUGGUGGACGAACAGACCCGCGAGCGGGC